UACGUAGGGUGCGAGCGUUAAUCGGAAUUACUGGGCGUAAAGUGUGCGCAGGCGGCGUUGCAAGUCGGGUGUGAAAUCCCCGAGCUUAACUUGGGAAUUGCGCUCGAAACUACGAUGCUCGAGUGUGGCAGAGGAAGGUGGAAUUCCACGUGUAGCGGUGAAAUGCGUAGAGAUGUGGAGGAACACCGAUGGCGAAGGCAGCCUUCUGGGCCAACACUGACGCUCAUGCACGAAAGCGUGGGGAGCAAACAGG
RNAcentral lists this ribosomal RNA (253 nucleotides) under uncultured bacterium. RNAcentral's name for it is "partial 16S ribosomal RNA". It matches the Rfam family "Bacterial small subunit ribosomal RNA", at positions 524 to 776 of the family's 1533-position model. The record is from RNAcentral.